AAACUUCCGCAAUGGACGAAAGUCUGACGGAGCAACGCCGCGUGAGUGAAGAAGGUCUUAGGAACGUAAAACUUCGUUGAUAGGGAAGAACAAGUAUCGUUCGACUAGGGCAGUACCUUGACGGUACCUACCCAGCAAGCCACGGCGAACUACGCGCCAGCCGCCGCGGUAAUACGUAGGUGGCAAGCGUUAUCCGGAAUUAUUGGGCGUAAAGCGCACGCAGGCGGUUUCUUAAGUAUGAUGUGAAAGCCCACGGCUCAACCGUGGAGGGUCAUUGGAAACUGGUAAGCUUGAGUGCAGAAGAGGAGAGUGGAAUUCCAUGUGUAGCGGUGAAAUGCGUAGAGAAAUGGAGGAACACCAGUGGCGAAGGCGACUCUCUGGUCUGCAACUGACGCUGAGGCGCGAAAGCGUGGGAAGCGAACA
RNAcentral lists this ribosomal RNA (423 nucleotides) under uncultured bacterium. Its description in RNAcentral is "partial 16S ribosomal RNA". It matches the Rfam family "Bacterial small subunit ribosomal RNA", at positions 359 to 774 of the family's 1533-position model. The record is from RNAcentral.